RNAcentral lists this ribosomal RNA (498 nucleotides) under uncultured bacterium. RNAcentral's name for it is "partial 16S ribosomal RNA". It matches the Rfam family "Bacterial small subunit ribosomal RNA", at positions 30 to 523 of the family's 1533-position model. The record is from RNAcentral.
AUUGAACGCUGGCGGCAUGCCUUACACAUGCAGGUCGAACGGUAACAGGUCUUCGGAUGCUGACGAGUGGCGAACGGGUGAGUAAUACAUCGGAACGUGCCUAGUAGUGGGGGAUAACUACUCGAAAGAGUGGCUAAUACCGCAUGAGAUCUACGGAUGAAAGCAGGGGAUCGCAAGACCUUGUGCUACUAGAGCGGCCGAUGGCAGAUUAGGUAGUUGGUGGGAUAAAAGCUUACCAAGCCGACGAUCUGUAGCUGGUCUGAGAGGACGAUCCGCCACACUGGGACUGAGAAACGGCCCAGAGUCCUACGGGAGUCAGCAGUGGGGAAUUUUGGACAAUGGGCGCAAGCCUGAUCCAGCAAUGCCGCGUGCAGGAUGAAGGCCUUCGGGUUGUAAACUGCUUUUGUACGGAACGAAAAGCCCCGGGUUAAUACCCUGGGGUCAUGACGGUACCGUAAGAAUAAGCACCGGCUAACUACGUGCCAGCCGCCGCGGUAA